AUUUAGCUGAAUAGGAUGGCGGUCUGCUGGCGGGCCUUCUGUUGCACGGAAACCAGGAGGAACAACAUCCUGAAACCAGCUGUUGUCAGUGCUGGUUAAGGCUGAGAUGUGAGGUGUCCCCAGAGCUCAACUUAAGAAAGUCCAGAGGUGGAAUCUGGGUCAGGAGAGCCUUAACCCAAUCAGUGCACUCAUCCCCUGAUAGGGAUGCAGUGGAUGGGACUUCAGGCUGGUAGGGUGGCUGGAGACCCUAGGGGUCUGACUUUGGGGUUUUUGCUCAGUCUGUGGUGGGGGGGAAGAGUCUCUCUGCUUCCUGGUGCUAUGUCCUGAGCUGCUUUCCUCCACCACUUCUUUCCACCAUGAUGUUCUGCCUCAUCUCCAGCCCUGAGGAAUGGAGUCUACCCUCUAUGGACUGAGCCAUCUGAAAUCAUGAGCCCCAAAUAAACUUUUCCUCCUUAAGAUUGUUCUUUUUAGGUCUUUUGGUCACAGUUGGCAGAAAAGCUGACUUAAACAGUACUGUAAUACCAACGCUUUCCAGGCCCCUCUGUAGGUAAUAUUCCUAUGUGGCAUGUAAAUCCUGCCACAGGGAAGGUCACGGUUGCUGGGAAUCAGCUUGACCAAAGAGUGCCCAUGAGCUCGGGCCAUGAGGUCAAACUGGCUUUGAAUUGGCUUCUUGAUAUCUGUGAACCUUGUAGUUAGCUCUUCUGUGCUUCAUUUUAUGCUGCAGUCUGGCUGGGCACAAAUCACGAGCCACUCAAGCAGGAACAAACUUUAUUUCCGAACUCCCCCUAACGCCACCCAUGCGGCCCUUCCAGGGACACCACACACCAACUGGAACUCCCUCUACCCGGAACUUCACCAACCAACUCGAACUCCCCAGGAAUCCCCGGGAGAACUCCAAAGUAGCGGCGGACAGCAGGGGUCUAUAUNUCUAGUCCAACUUAUUGCUGACAUGUGAAGUUUGACCAGGAGUAAAGAACAGGGGGAGUGGGCAGGGUCCAAGCCUGAAAAAUUUCAGAUGUCACUGAGCACUUCUCUUGGCCAUGGGUAAGAAAAGAGCAUUUGGGGAAAGUGAAGUGGCAUUCCCUUGGCAGAGGUCACAUCCGCCUGCUCAGACAGUCCUGACUGGCUGAUUUGAUCCAUCAAUUAAGCCAGGCACAUUCCACCUAUGUGUACCUGCUGGCAGAGAUGAUGUUGCCACUAUCAUUUAGAAUUAUUGCUAUUUUAAAAAUUUAGUAGACUGCAUUUUUGAAGCAGUUUUAGGCUUAUAGACUAAUCAAGCUGAAAGUGGCAUCUCCUCACUGGUAUUGUUUCCUCACUAAGAACAUCUGGCCUUAGCGUGGUGUAUUUGUUAUAAUGGAUGAAUUGAUACUCAUACACUGUUAUUCCCUUAAGUCUUCAGUUUACAUUAGGGCUCAUUCCUGGCUUUGUAUGAUUUAUAGCUCUUGACAAAUGUGGAAUGACAGGUAUUCACCAAUGCCACACUUGCGGAGAGUUUCAGAUCCUCUGCUCUCCACCCAGUCACCCCUCUCCCCUCUGUAACAACCAGACUUACAUCUGCACAGUGUUAGCAUUCUAGAGUGAUUUAUAAUUUGAAUCACACAAAACAUAACCUUUUCAGACUGGCUUCUUUCACUUGGGAAUAGACAUUGAAGGCUCCUGCAUAUCUUUUCAUGGCUCGUAUUUUAUUUUUAUUGCUGAAUAAUAUUCCAGUGUAUGGAUGUACCCCUGUUUCUUUAUCCUUUCACCAACUGAAAGACAUAUGGGUUGCUUCCAAACCUUGGUAAUUGUAUAAAGGUGCUGUAAGAAAGGAAUAAAUAGACCUUUAAAUUUACCUAGAAACUUAUACAAGAACAGUUGUACGUAAAGUAAAAGGGGGAAGAAGAAAGGAGAGUUGAGGGAACAUAUAUUAAUUGCUACUUCCUUGAAAUCUUAAAAAAGCAGUUGAGUGCAGUGACACAGUUUGUAAUGCCAGCAAAUUGGGAGACUGAGGCCGGAGGAUUGCAAGUUUGAGGCCAGCUGCAUUAACUUAGUCAUACCCUCAGUAACUUAGUAAAACCUGGUCUCAAAACAGCUGGGGAUGCAGCUCAGUGGUGAAACUCUCCUGGGUUCAAUACCCAGGACAAAAAAAAAAAAACACAAAAAAACCCCAAAAUCAAAAACAAUAGAAAAGGCAAUCACACUGCAUAUAUACUCCCUAAGGCUUUCCAGAGCUGAAAUUUCACUAUACAGUGUUUUAAAGUAGGUCAUAUCAAUAGGCUUUACCAUUCUGCCAUCCCAUAAGCUUCAAAAUUUCCUCUGCAGAUAAAAGAACAACUUUCAUCAUCAAAUUCACUAGAAAAAAUCAGUAAAAAUUUACAUAAAAGAAAUAGUCAAAACAAAGUACAUGUAUAAAGACACGAAUUGAUGUGAACACACUUUAUAUACAAAGAUAUGAAAAAAUGUUCUCUAUAUGUG
RNAcentral lists this long non-coding RNA (2454 nucleotides) under Marmota monax (woodchuck). Lineage: Eukaryota; Metazoa; Chordata; Mammalia; Rodentia; Sciuridae. The record is from RNAcentral.